ACAGUGAGUAGCUUGCUAUGAGCUGUUUUAGCGGCGGACGGGUGAGUAACGCGUGAGCAACCUUUCCCAGACAGGGGAAUAACACACCGAAAGGUGUACUAAUACCGCAUAAGACCACGGGAUCACAUGGUUCUGGGGUAAAAGAUUUAUCGGUUUGGGGUGGGCUCGCGUCCGAUUAGGUAGUUGGUGAGGUAACGGCCCACCAAGCCGACGAUCGGUAGCCGACCUGAGAGGGUGAUCGGCCACAUUGGGACUGAGACACGGACCAAACUCCUACGGGAGGCAGCAGUGAGGAAUAUUGGUCAAUGGACGGAAGUCUGAACCAGCCAUGCCGCGUGCAGGAUGACGGCUCUAUGAGUUGUAAACUGCUUUUGUACGAGGGUAAACCCGAAUACGUGUAUUCGGCUGAAAGUAUCGUACGAAUAAGGAUCGGCUAACUCCGUGCCAGCAGCCGCGGUAAUACGGAGGAUCCAAGCGUUAUCCGGAUUUAUUGGGUUUAAAGGGUGCGUAGGCGGUCAGAUAAGUUAGAGGUGAAAUUCCGGUGCUUAACACCGGCGCUGCCUCUAAUACUGUUUGACUAGAGAGUA
This 587-nucleotide ribosomal RNA is filed under the name uncultured bacterium. RNAcentral describes it as "bacterial SSU rRNA". It matches the Rfam family "Bacterial small subunit ribosomal RNA", at positions 64 to 650 of the family's 1533-position model. The record is from RNAcentral.